This 149-nucleotide long non-coding RNA is filed under the name Chloebia gouldiae (Gouldian finch). Its description in RNAcentral is "Erythrura gouldiae (Gouldian finch) lncRNA (ENSEGOG00005003145.1)". The record is from RNAcentral. Lineage: Eukaryota; Metazoa; Chordata; Aves; Passeriformes; Passeridae.
CAGGCAGCUCUUGUCAAUGGGAUAUCCAUGUUUUUUGAAUAUAAAUAUGAGCAAUGCUGGUUCAUGCACUACUCUCCAAUAUUAAGAAUGCAUUGUAAGAAGUGUGUCUCCUCAAAAUAAAGCGUGGGCCCACAACAGCAAUCAAGGAG